CGGAACGUGCCCAGACGUGGGGGAUAACUACUCGAAAGAGUGGCUAAUACCGCAUACGAUCUAAGGAUGAAAGCGGGGGAUCGCAAGACCUCGCGCGUUUGGAGCGGCCGAUGGCAGAUUAGGUAGUUGGUGGGGUAAAGGCUUACCAAGCCCGCGAUCUGUAGCUGGUCUGAGAGGAUGAUCAGCCACACUGGGACUGAGACACGGCCCAGACUCCUACGGGAGGCAGCAGUGGGGAAUUUUGGACAAUGGGCGAAAGCCUGAUCCAGCCAUUCCGCGUGCAGGAUGAAGGCCCUCGGGUUGUAAACUGCUUUUGUACAGAACGAAAAAGCUCUUUCUAAUACAGAGAGUCCAUGACGGUACUGUAAGAAUAAGCACCGGCUAACUACGUGCCAGCAGCCGCGGUAAUACGUAGGGUGCAAGCGUUAAUCGGAAUUACUGGGCGUAAAGCGUGCGCAGGCGGUUUUGUAAGACAGAGGUGAAAUCCCCGGGCUCAACCUGGGAACUGCCUUUGUGACUGCAAGGCUGGAGUGCGGCAGAGGGGGAUGGAAUUCCGCGUGUAGCAGUGAAAUGCGUAGAUAUGCGGAGGAACACCGAUGGCGAAGGCAAUCCCCUGGGCCUGCACUGACGCUCA
This 634-nucleotide ribosomal RNA is filed under the name Ottowia beijingensis. RNAcentral describes it as "bacterial SSU rRNA". It matches the Rfam family "Bacterial small subunit ribosomal RNA", at positions 119 to 749 of the family's 1533-position model. Lineage: Bacteria; Pseudomonadati; Pseudomonadota; Betaproteobacteria; Burkholderiales; Comamonadaceae. The record is from RNAcentral.